UGACACAAGUGGCACAUCACGGCCAUGGGAUCUCAGCAUUCCACCUGUGAUCACCCCUCCUUUUGCAGGCAAAAGAAAGAAGAUGACAGGGAGGAUUUGCUGGCUGAACGAGAGCAGGAAGAAGCCAUUGCUCAGUUCCCAUAUGUGGAGUUCACCGGGAGAGAUAGCAUCACCUGUCUCACGUGCCAAGGGACAGGCUACAUUCCAACAGAGCAAGUAAAUGAGUUGGUGGCAUUGAUCCCACACAGUGAUCAGAGAUUGCGCCCUCAGAGAACUAAGCAGUAUGUCCUCCUUCCAUCCUGCUCUGUCUCCUGGUAUCCGGUUUGGUGGUUUUCUUCCUGUUUCCACACUCAGUCCUUGUGGAUGAUGACGGCAUCAAAGUUGUGAAAGUCACAUUUAAUAAACAGGACUCCCUGGUAAUCCUUGCCAUCACGGCCACCCUGAAAAUUAAGAACUCUAACUUCUAUCCCGUGGCAGUGACCAGCCUGUCCAGCCAGAUUCAGUACAUGAACACAGUGGUUGGCACAUAUGUGACUACUAAUGUCUCCCUCAUUCCACCUCGGAGUGAGCAACUAGUGAAUUUUACCGGGAAGGCUGAGAUGGGAGGACCAUUUUCCUACGUGUACUUCUUCUGCACAUUACCGGAUAUCCUGGUGCACAACAUAGUGAUCUUCAUGCGAACUUCAGUGAAGAUUUCAUACAUUGGCCACAUGACCCAGAGCUCCUUGGAGACACAUCACUAUGUGGAUUGUGGAGCAAAUGCCACAGCUGUUUAGCAACUGCUCUCGGUUCUUCCUCAGCAGCACCUGUAGAAGAGAGCGCAGCAACUGUUCCCAAGGCCUUAGUUCCGCACCUACCCC
RNA transcript from Propithecus coquereli (Coquerel's sifaka), 860 nucleotides. It is a transcript of the gene named transmembrane protein 106C pseudogene, with no coding region annotated. The transcript has a single exon. The record is from RefSeq and is a predicted model, not a curated record. Lineage: Eukaryota; Metazoa; Chordata; Mammalia; Primates; Indriidae.